Molecule: long non-coding RNA, 507 nt
Filed under: Pomacea canaliculata
Lineage: Eukaryota; Metazoa; Mollusca; Gastropoda; Architaenioglossa; Ampullariidae
Description: uncharacterized LOC112570524, transcript variant X2
Source: RNAcentral
ACCUGAGACGUGUUGCAUAGGCGUAGCGAAUCGAGCGAAGCUAGCCAAUCUAGCCGGAAGUGUAAAGAGCGCGCCCCUACAAGCUAGCGAACCUAGACCCCUAGCGUAGCAAAGCUAGCGGCCUUUGGAGGUCCUACGCUUGCUAUUCAAAAUGGCCGACAUUGUUGUCGCUUUCAAGUUUGCAGAUGAGAGUUUCUUUGAUGCUCCCGUUAAAAAGGAGUAUUGGACCGGAUACAAAGUGAAAUGAAUGUGGGAAAUCAAUGGACCAAGGGGGCAGUACUUUUCCUCAUGGACACUUAUGCCGAACAUAAGGAACAAUUUGCAAUUCCAACUUGAAAAUAGAGGUAAGGAAGAGGAUUGCUUCGGAAAUGGCAGCCUCAGGAUGCCACUUUGCUCCAGCAGCACUUGAGAAAAAAAUGGAGCAAUAUGAAAAUAUGAAUGGCUGAAAUCUUGGAAGGAGACCCUUUGUUCAUCCCACCACUGACAUCAUCACUGGGGAGUGUAAAA